This 226-nucleotide ribosomal RNA is filed under the name uncultured bacterium. RNAcentral describes it as "partial 16S ribosomal RNA". It matches the Rfam family "Bacterial small subunit ribosomal RNA", at positions 95 to 334 of the family's 1533-position model. The record is from RNAcentral.
UAGGCGACCGGGUGAGUAACACGUGACUAACCUACCCUCGAGUGUGGAAUAACAUCGGGAAACCGAUGCUAAUACCGCAUAAUAUCGCAAGAUCAAAGCAGUAAUGCGCUUGAGGAGGGGGGUCGCGGCUGAUUAGCUAGUUGGCGGGGUAAUGGCCCACCAAGGCUUUGAUCGGUAGCCGGCCUGAGAGGGCGCACGGCCACACUGGAACUGAAACACGGUCCAG